GACGAACGCUGGCGGCGGGCUUAACACAUGCAAGUCGAACGGAAAGGGCCUGCUUUUGUGGGGUGCUCGAGUGGCGAACGGGUGUGUAACACGUGAGUAACCUGCCCUUGACUUUGGGAUAACUGCAGGAAAGUGGGGCUAAUACCGGCUAGGAGCUCCUGCUGCAUGGUGGGGGUCGGAAAGUUUCGGCGGUGUGGGCUGGACGCGCGGCUAACCAGCUUGUGGGUGGAGUAUUGGCUUACCCAGCCUUUGAUGGGUAGCCCGCAUGAGAGGGUGACCGGGCUCCUGGGGACUGCGGUACGGACCAGUCUCCAACGGGGGACAGCAGGGGAAAAUCUUAUCCAAUGGUCGGACGCGUGUUGAGACAGCGCCGCGAGCGGGAUGACGGCUUUCUGGUGGUAAACCGCUUUAGCCUGUGACGAAGCGUGAGUGACGGUAAUGGGUAAAGAAGCACCGGCUAACUACGUG
This 468-nucleotide ribosomal RNA is filed under the name uncultured bacterium. Its description in RNAcentral is "partial 16S ribosomal RNA". It matches the Rfam family "Bacterial small subunit ribosomal RNA", at positions 28 to 507 of the family's 1533-position model. The record is from RNAcentral.